GUAAAUAACUAGGGGCCCAAUUGACUGAGAAGAACCCUUUGAACCUAAGAUGGGUAAUGCCAGCGAAGGAAAGUGAAUCGUGUAAUGC
This 88-nucleotide non-coding RNA is filed under the name Leuconostoc suionicum. RNAcentral's name for it is "TPP". It matches the Rfam family "TPP riboswitch aptamer (THI element)". Rfam says of the family: Vitamin B(1) in its active form thiamin pyrophosphate (TPP) is an essential coenzyme that is synthesised by coupling of pyrimidine and thiazole moieties in bacteria. The previously detected thiamin-regulatory element, thi box was extended, resulting in a new, highly conserved RNA secondary structure, the THI element, which is widely distributed in eubacteria and also occurs in some archaea. Lineage: Bacteria; Bacillati; Bacillota; Bacilli; Lactobacillales; Lactobacillaceae. The record is from RNAcentral.